Molecule: ribosomal RNA, 468 nt
Filed under: uncultured bacterium
Lineage: Bacteria
Description: partial 16S ribosomal RNA
Rfam family: Bacterial small subunit ribosomal RNA
Source: RNAcentral
GACGAACGCUGGCGGCGGGCUUAACACAUGCAAGUCGAACGGAAAGGCCCUGCUUUUGUGGGGUUCUCGAGUGGCGAAGGGGUGAGUAACACGUGAGUAACCUGGCCUUGACUGUGGGAUAACUUGAGGAAACUGGUGCUAAUACCGGAUAGGAGCUCCUGCUGCAUGGGGGGGGUUGGAAAGUUUCGGCGGUGGGGGAUGGACUCGCGGCUUAUCAGCUGGUUGGUGGGGUAGUGGCUUACCAAGGGUUUGACGGGUAGCCGGCCUGGGAGGGUGACCGGCCACCUGGGGCCUGAGAUACGGCCCAGACUGCUACGGGAGGCAGCAGUGGGGAAUAUUGCAUAAUGGGCGGAAGCCUGAUGCAGCAAUGCCGCGUGCGGGAUGACGGCCUUCGGGGUGGAAACCGCUUUAGCCUGUGACGAAGCGUGAGUGACGGUAAUGGGUAAAGAAGCACCGGCUAACUACGUG